GCAGCACUAGCUAUGGAAAUAGGAAGCUGCAAUGCUUGCAAGAUCAGUGCUGCUCCAGUCUGCAGGAGUGACAAAGCCCUCAUAUCCAGGGGAUCGCUGCUUGGGGAAGCUCUGCUCGUCCGCCUGUCUUGGAGUUUUUGGGUCUCGCUGCCUGCCGCUCUCGACCACCACGCACCAGAGACCUCAACCUUCAUUCUGUCAAUAAAUCCUCUGUUUUUUUGCC
This is a long non-coding RNA of Micropterus salmoides (largemouth bass), 223 nucleotides long. RefSeq lists it as uncharacterized. The transcript is spliced from 2 exons. The record is from RefSeq and is a predicted model, not a curated record. Lineage: Eukaryota; Metazoa; Chordata; Actinopteri; Centrarchiformes; Centrarchidae.